RNAcentral lists this unclassified non-coding RNA (561 nucleotides) under Festuca drymeja. RNAcentral's name for it is "partial external transcribed spacer". Lineage: Eukaryota; Viridiplantae; Streptophyta; Magnoliopsida; Poales; Poaceae. The record is from RNAcentral.
UGAGUAGUUUUGGACCCGUGUCUGCCGGUAGAUCCCCCGACUCUUUGUGCGGCCGACUACCGGCGCCGUGUCCCGUCAUUCGUGUGGCUUAUGCUGCUGUUGCCUUUCAAGUGCUUGCGUGCUGGUACCCGACCUAYGGGAAGUGGUGCUUCGUACACGGUUACCUCGCGGUGGACACCUUCGGGUGUGCCCCUGCGGCCUAAUUGGCGCUUGCGGCGUUUCCUCGUGGUUCYGGCACGCUUACGUGCCUGAYGCUACCAAGGCAGCCUCGCUCCCGCUGUUGGUCUCGGAUGUUGCUCACGAUAAAGGCUCAUGGCCCUUUUGGUUGCCUCGACCCGACCCUUAAGCUGCUCUCCGAAUUUGAGAACAACCGUGAACAGGUGUUGCCUCUACCUCUCCACAGUUAGUGGUAGGAUACGCAACAUUCUGCGCCGAUCCUCAAUCAAGUAGGAUGAGCUUGGCCCGCUCAAACGCGACAACCGGCUCGGCCGUUGCCUCAGCCUUGACACGCAAGUGGACGGGCGGACAAAGACCGACGCUGGACGUCAACGAGGACGUGCU